RNAcentral lists this ribosomal RNA (272 nucleotides) under Escherichia coli. RNAcentral describes it as "partial 16S ribosomal RNA". It matches the Rfam family "Bacterial small subunit ribosomal RNA", at positions 1 to 269 of the family's 1533-position model. Lineage: Bacteria; Pseudomonadati; Pseudomonadota; Gammaproteobacteria; Enterobacterales; Enterobacteriaceae. The record is from RNAcentral.
AAAUUGAAGAGUUUGAUCAUGGCUCAGAUUGAACGCUGGCGGCAGGCCUAACACAUGCAAGUCGAACGGUAACAGGAAGAAGCUUGCUUCUUUGCUGACGAGUGGCGGACGGGUGAGUAAUGUCUGGGGAACUGCCUGAUGGAGGGGGAUAACUACUGGAAACGGUAGCUAAUACCGCAUAACGUCGCAAGACCAAAGAGGGGGACCUUCGGGCCUCUUGCCAUCGGAUGUGCCCAGAUGGGAUUAGCUAGUAGGUGGGGUAACGGCUCACC